UUAUGGCUCAGGACGAACGCUGGCGGCGUGCUUAACACAUGCAAGUCGAACGGAAAGGCCCUGCUUUUGUGGGGUGCUCGAGUGGCGAACGGGUGAGUAACACGUGAGUAACCUGCCCUUGACUUUGGGAUAACUUCAGGAAACUGGGGCUAAUACCGGAUAGGAGCUCCUGCUGCAUGGUGGGGGUUGGAAAGUUUCGGCGGUUGGGGAUGGACUCGCGGCUUAUCAGCUUGUUGGUGGGGUAGUGGCUUACCAAGGCUUUGACGGGUAGCCGGCCUGAGAGGGUGACCGGCCACAUUGGGACUGAGAUACGGCCCAGACUCCUACGGGAGGCAGCAGUGGGGAAUAUUGCACAAUGGGCGGAAGCCUGAUGCAGCAACGCCGCGUGCGGGAUGACGGCCUUCGGGUUGUAAACCGCUUUCGCCUGUGACGAAGCGUGAGUGACGGUAAUGGGUAAAGAAGCACCGGCUAACUACGUGCCAGCAGCCGCGGUGAUACGUAGGGUGCGAGCGUUGUCCGGAUUUAUUGGGCGUAAAGGGCUCGUAGGUGGUUGAUCGCGUCGGAAGUGUAAUCUUGGGGCUUAACCCUGAGCGUGCUUUCGAUACGGGUUGACUUGAGGAAGGUAGGGGAGAAUGGAAUUCCUGGUGGAGCGGUGGAAUGCGCAGAUAUCAGGAGGAACACCAGUGGCGAAGGCGGUUCUCUGGGCCUUUCCUGACGCUGAGGAGCGAAAGCGUGGGGAGCGAACAGGCUUAGAUACCCUGGUAGUCCACGCUGUAAACGGUGGGUACUAGGUGUGGGGUCCAUUCCACGGGUUCCGUGCCGUAGCUAACGCUUUAAGUACCCCGCCUGGGGAGUACGGCCGCAAGGCUAAAACUCAAAGGAAUUGACGGGGCCCCGCACAAGCGGCGGAGCAUGCGGAUUAAUUCGAUGCAACGCGUAGAACCUUACCUGGGUUUGACAUGGAUCGGGAGUGCUCAGAGAUGGGUGUGCCUCUUUUGGGGUCGGUUCACAGGUGGUGCAUGGCUGUCGUCAGCUCGUGUCGUGAGAUGUUGGGUUAAGUCCCGCAACGAGCGCAACCCUUGUUCACUGUUGCCAGCACGUUAUGGUGGGGACUCAGUGGAGACCGCCGGGGUCAACUCGGAGGAAGGUGGGGAUGACGUCAAGUCAUCAUGCCCCUUAUGUCCAGGGCUUCACGCAUGCUACAAUGGCUGGUACAGAGAGUGGCGAGCCUGUGAGGGUGAGCGAAUCUCGGAAAGCCGGUCUCAGUUCGGAUUGGGGUCUGCAACUCGACCUCAUGAAGUCGGAGUCGCUAGUAAUCGCAGAUCAGCAACGCUGCGGUGAAUACGUUCCCGGGGCUUGUACACACCGCCCGUCAAGUCAUGAAAGUUGGUAACACCCGAAGCCGGUGGCCUAACCGUUGUGGGGGAGCCGUCGAAGGUGGGACUGGUGAUUAGGACUAAGUCGUAACAAGGU
This 1473-nucleotide ribosomal RNA is filed under the name uncultured bacterium. RNAcentral describes it as "bacterial SSU rRNA". It matches the Rfam family "Bacterial small subunit ribosomal RNA". The record is from RNAcentral.